CUCAUCAACGUAAAGAGCGACAAGCGUCAGAAGUACCAUUGAUAAAUUUGACCUUGACACUUAUUCAUAAACCCGGAAGCAUGUUGAAUAUCGGUGCUAUCACCAAUAUAUUGAAGAUUUCUGCUAUUCUAUUGUUAAUACAAGUAUGUACAGACGUAAAUGAAGUUGAAACAUCGCCCCAACAAACAUAUAUACUUACUCAGAGACGAAACUGGAUAAUACCUUUUUAGAUGCUACUGUAAGUGUGCCAGGCUACAAACUGGAGAGACGCGAUAGAAAUAUAAACGGGGGUGGUUUAUUGGCAUACACCAGAAGUGACAUUCCAUCAAGGAGAAGAAAAGAUUUAGAAUCGGAUCACUUAGAAAAUAUUGUUAUAGAGGUACCACAAGUCAGAACUUCAAAUUUUGGUAAGAACUCCUUCAGGUAUGCUGCACCUGUUCUGUGGAAUUCCCUUCCUGAAAGCUACAGAAAUGCUGUAAACUUCAGUCAGUUUAAAAAUCAGAUUUCUUUUUGGAGUGGAAAUGAUUGUAAAUGUUCUUUGUGUAAAACUUGAAUCUCUCGAAUAGUUGCAUCUUUUUUAUAUACCCAUAGAACAGGUUAGCAGCAUACUUGAUUGAUGUAUAUGUUUUCCUGCGUGACAUUAUGUAUCUAAUUUUUGCCCUGUAUUUUUGGUUUUGCUUGCAUAUAGUUGUAUAUUAUUUAUUUUUUCCUGCAGUUGUGCUUUCUUGAUUUCUAUCAUGCAGUAGUAUUAUUUUCUUAUUUUGCCUUGUCUUUCAGUUAUGUCUUGCAUGCAAUUGUAUUUGCUUGGUUUUUCCUGCAGUUAUGCUUUCUUUAAUUUUCUUGCUAUCAUGUAGUAGUUGCUGUUCAGUUCACCUAAUGUCUGAUCCUGAGAUGAUAACUUCCUUUAGCUUUCUUUUAAAUUAUGCAUUUUUUGUGCUUGUUUUGAUGGUUUCACUUUUUUACAUUUAUUCUCUUAUGGCAGUUUUUAGGUCACUGACCUAGAACAGCAGCUGUUACAUGGUUUUUUAACUCAAUUACAUGGUCUUAAAUGUA
Molecule: long non-coding RNA, 1053 nt
Organism: Mercenaria mercenaria
Lineage: Eukaryota; Metazoa; Mollusca; Bivalvia; Venerida; Veneridae
Exons: 3
Source: RefSeq, a predicted model, not a curated record